GCCCUGGCUGGUGUGGCUCAGUGGUUGAGCGCUGGACUGUGAUUCAAGGGUCACUGGUUCGAUUCUCAGUCUAGGGCA
This is a non-coding RNA of Phyllostomus hastatus (greater spear-nosed bat), 78 nucleotides long. Lineage: Eukaryota; Metazoa; Chordata; Mammalia; Chiroptera; Phyllostomidae. The record is from the annotation of a RefSeq genome assembly.